This 346-nucleotide ribosomal RNA is filed under the name uncultured bacterium. RNAcentral's name for it is "bacterial SSU rRNA". It matches the Rfam family "Bacterial small subunit ribosomal RNA", at positions 32 to 351 of the family's 1533-position model. The record is from RNAcentral.
AAUCAACGCUGGCGGCGUGCCUCAGACAUGCAAGUCGAACGCGAAAGUUUCCUUCGGGAGAUGAGUAGAGUGGCGCACAGGUGAGUAACACGUGAGUAAUUUACCUUCGGGUGGGGAAUACUAACCGGAAACGGUUGUUAAUACCGCAUAAUGCAGCGGCAUCAAUGAUGACAGUUGUUAAAGCGGGGGAUUGGAGCAAUCCGACCUCGCGCCUGAAGAGAAGCNCGCGGCAGAUUAGCUAGUUGGUAAGGUAAUGGCUUACCAAGGCGACGAUCUGUAACCGGCCUGAGAGGGCGGUCGGGUCACACUGACACUGAAUAACGGGUCAGACUCCUACGGGAGGCAG